AGAGUUUGAUCCUGGCUCAGAAUCAACGCUGGCGGCGUGCCUAACACAUGCAAGUCGAACGAGAAAGGGUAGCAAUACCUGAGUAAAGUGGCGCACGGGUGAGUAACACGUGACUAACCUACCCUGGAGUGGGGGAUAACUGAGGGAAACCUUAGCUAAUACCGCAUAAUACCUACGGGUCAAAGGAGCAAUUCGCUUUGGGAGGGGGUCGCGGCCGAUUAGUUAGUUGGCGGGGUAAUGGCCCACCAAGACUGUGAUCGGUAUCCGGCCUGAGAGGGCGCACGGACACACUGGAACUGAAACACGGUCCAGACUCCUACGGGAGGCAGCAGUGGGGAAUUUUGCGCAAUGGGGGAAACCCUGACGCAGCAACGCCGCGUGGAGGAUGAAGUACUUCGGUACGUAAACUCCUUUCGAUCGGGACGAUAAUGACGGUACCGGAAGAAGAAGCCCCGGCUAACUUCGUGCCAGCAGCCGCGGUAAUACGAGGGGGGCAAGCGUUGUUCGGAAUUAUUGGGCGUAAAGGGUGCGUAGGCGGUUUGGUAAGUCUUGUGUGAAAUCUCCGGGCUCAACUCGGAGUCUGCACAGGAAACUGCCGGGCUUGAGUAUGGGAGAGGUGAGUGGAAUUUCCGGUGUAGCGGUGAAAUGCGUAGAUAUCGGAAGGAACACCUGUGGCGAAAGCGGCUCACUGGACCAUAACUGACGCUGAUGCACGAAAGCUAGGGGAGCAAACAGGAUUAGAUACCCUAGUAGUCC
RNAcentral lists this ribosomal RNA (756 nucleotides) under uncultured bacterium. Its description in RNAcentral is "bacterial SSU rRNA". It matches the Rfam family "Bacterial small subunit ribosomal RNA", at positions 8 to 796 of the family's 1533-position model. The record is from RNAcentral.